UUCAUAUUAUCUUUUGUCUUUGAUGAAUUAGGGGUGUAAAGAAAAGAAUGUAAAGCUUUAUUUUGAGUAAAUGUGACGUAAAAAGAAAUGAUGAAAAGACUAUGUAAAGAAUUGUGAAUGAAAAUGUUGGUUGCAAUGUAUGUGAUCCAAAAUGAAUCAUAGUACUUGUGUAGUUGUUUAGUUUCCUAUCUUUCACUCAUGGCUAUUGCUUACCUUCGUGUAAGCCGUAUUUGUAUGUUUCCGCUAGUGCUUUUUUUUACUUGAAAAUGUACAGGUGAUGAGCCUUGAGCGGACAAGGAAAACUCUGUCCGUUCGGCGUCUGUUCGACGUGCCCGGACCGGCCCAAAUUGGUNAUCAUAGUACUUGUGUAGUUGUUUAGUUUCCUAUCUUUCACUCAUGGCUAUUGCUUACCUUCGUGUAAGCCGUAUUUGUAUGUUUCCGCUAGUGCAUUUUUUUACUUGAAAAUGUACAGGUGAUGAGCCUUAGGCGGACAAGGGAAACUCUGUCUGUUCGGCGUCUGUUCGACGUGCCCGGACCGGCCCAAAUUGGUAUCGGUCGCGGGGCGUGACACAUAUAGUGGUAUCAGAGCUAAAGUGAAAGAUAGGAAUGGACCUAGAGACCCUUAGGAUUGGGAAAGGACUUACGGAUUUAGGAAACGUGAGUAACGCGAGAUCAAAGUUAGCGAAAGCAUGUGAUUUGGUCAAGUUGGGAUGUCUCUAAUGUGAUUAGAGGCUAAGUUUAAAUUAAUCGUUUGUUCUCUACUCUGUGUGUUGUGUUGGGCGGCGGACGACAUAACGCUUGGGAUGAGGAUGAAUGUAUGUUUGCUUUCGCCGGAUUGGGUAUGGUUGAGUAAUGUUGGACAAGUAGCUAACAAGUAUUGCUUCAUUUCAGGAAGCAAUGGUUCACGGUGGACCUCGAACAAGGUCAAUUCCCGAGGAACCGAAUGCGAAGCUCGAGCGAUCUGGAGCGGUGGCGACGGAGAGCUUAUGGAGCAAAAGGCCGCGCUUAUCAAAGUGGUGCGGCAACAAGCGCAGUCUGUUCAAUGCCAAGGGGAGCAGAUUCAACGGCUCCAGGAGGCCUUGGAGUGUCAGCAGGCGGCGGCGGCCCAGGCGGGUGCCGAGCAUGUCGCACCCCCUGUGGUAGUGCCGAGCGUAGACGAGGGAGCGGCGGCAGCAGCAGCUGUGCCCGUCACGAUGGUGCCGGCCGGAUCGGGAACUUCGAAUCCCGGCGGUGCGGCAGUUGAGGCGGAGCGAGAGCGUUCGUUAGCGGCUCUCAUUCAGUUCAAGAAGUUCGAUCCACCUAUCUUUGAAGGUGGUAUGGUAGAGCCCGCGGUAGUGGAGUUGUGGAUCGACUCGAUGGAGACGCUCUUCGAGGAUCUAAAUACCUCGGAGAAGGACAAAGUGUACCUCGCCACCCAUUGUCUCGAGAAGGCGGCGAAAGUGUGGUGGAAACGAGUCAAGCGGGAUCGUUCUACCGAUCUUCCGCUUAUGCUGUGGGAGGAGUUCAAGCGAGCGGUAUUCGCGAACUACUUCCCCGACACGGUGAAGCGGAGGCUACAAGAGAAGUUCCGCAAGUUGAGACAGGGCGAUCGAUUGGUGGGAGAAUAUGAGCAAGAAUUCUCUCACAUCAUUGACUGCGUUCCCGAUGUUGUUCGUGAUGAUCGGGAUCGGGCUGACUGGUUCUUGCGAGGACUCCAGCCAAGGAUUUAUGAAAAAGUGCAGAUCUUGAAGCUUACAACCUUUGCGGAGGUCUUUGAUCAAGCCUUGUGGGCCGAGCACGGUAGCGCCCAUGUACGAGAGGAAUGGGAGGCUAUGGCCGAAAGCAAGGAUAAAGGUAAGAAGCGAACUGCGGGCAGUGCCGGAGGCCGGCCAAAUGCAAAGAAACCCCCUCGGUAUCCCCGACAACAGGCGAGGAGCUGGAGACUGCUCCGGUGCGUCAUUUGUGGUGAAGAGCACCGAGUGUCGACUUGCCCGCAGCGAGACGACAAAUGUUUCAAGUGUGGCCAACCGGGACAUCUUAUCCGGGAGUGCCCAAGCUGGACGUCGUCUGCGCCGUCAGCGGCAUCAGCACCGACGAUCCCGAGACAGCUUAUGGGGUUGCCAUCAGCAAUGUCGGCGGGACGCUCAUCAGCACCGCGUCAGCCGGAAGGAUCGAGAGCACCUAGCGGACGGGUUUUUGCCGCUCAGGUGGAGGAGCAGCCUGCAGCAACCGACGACAUUGUGGCACGUAUAAUUAUGAUUGAUGGCACUAGAGUUAGAACGCUGUUCGAUACUGGUGCAUCACGUUCAUUUGUAGGCUCGUCAUUUGCAAAGACGCAUGGCAUAGAAAUGACAAAUAAUGAGGACUAUUGGUGGAUAAUGGUCCCGAGCACUCGUUUCGCGUUUAUGAUGAGUGCUUGGAGGUUUCGGUGCAGAUUGGCGACUGGAUCAUGCCGAUAGAUCUGCUAGUUCUAGACCGGAUGUGGGGAUUCGACGUUAUCUUGGGGACCAAUUGACUCUCCAAGUACUAUGCGGUCAUAGAUUGCAAAAGAAAGGUAAUCACUUUUUGUGAACCGAAUCAGGAAGAGUUCGUGUAUCAGGCGUGCAAAGGCGCGCGUUUUGCGGCGACCAUAUCGACGGUGAGGGCUAAGAAAAUGAUAAAGGGUGGCUGUAAGGCCUACUUGGCAACUAUGGUGGAUGACCGUAGGAAGCACCCCGAACUUGAGGGUAUAAGAGUAGCAUGCGAAUUUCCAGAUGUAUUUCCGGCGGAGUUACCGGGAUUGCCACCAGACCGAGAAGUUGAGUUCGUUAUUGACUUGAUUCCCGGGGCGGCGCCAGUUUCGAAGGCUCCGUAUAGAAUGGCACCGGUGGAGUUAGUGGAGCUAAAAGCACAACUAUAGGACUUGCUCGAUAAAGGCUUCGUAAAGCCAAGCGUGUCACCGUGGGGAGCUCCGGUGCUAUUCGUGAAGAAAAAGGACGGCACACUUCGACUCUGCGUGGAUUAUCGCGAGUUGAACAAAGUAACGAUCAAGAACAGGUACCCGUUGUCAAGGAUUGACGAUUUGUUCGAUCAGUUGCAAGAGUCAAAGGUGUAUUCAAAAAUUGAUCUCCAAUCGGGAUAUCAUCAAUUAAAGAUUAGACCGAAGGAUGUGCACAAAACGGCGUACCGUACGCGGUAUGGCCAUUAUGAAUUCACGGUAAUGCCGUUUGGGCUUACUAAUGCCCCGGCAGCAUUUUUGGACUUGAUGAAUCGGGUUUUCAGACCACUGUUAGAUCGGUGCAUCGUGGUGUUUAUAGACGACGUAUUGGUUUACUCGAAGAGCGAGGAGGAGCAUGAGGAGCAUUUGAGAGCUGUGCUGCAAAUACUCAAACAAGAGAAGCUCUAUGCGAAGUUGAAGAAGUGUGACUUUUGGUUGACGGAGGUCACAUUCUUGAGUCACGUGGUAUCGGCCGUCGGAGUUUCAGUAGAUCCGAAGAAGGUUGAGGCAAUAAAGGAUUGGCCUCGCCCGACAAAUAUAGCGGAGGUCCGUAGUUUUCUCGGAUGUGCGGGCUACUAUCGGCGGUUCAUGGUUAACUACACUAACGCGCCUCACCCACAAAGAAGUAAAGUAUGUAUGGAGCGACGAUUGCGAUCGGAGCUUUGAGGAGUUAAAGAACAGGUUGACGUCGACCCCGGUGCUUGCCUUGCCAACUCCGGGGGAGACCUUUGUAGUAUACAGUGAUGCCUCGUAUGUUGGUCUCGGGUGUGUACUAAUGCAAAAUGGCUGAGUCAUUGCGUAUGCUUCGCGCCAAUUGAAGAGUUAUGAGAAGAACUACCCGAUUCACGACCUCGAGUCAGCCGCGGUAAUCUUCGCGCUAAAGCUUUGGAGGCAUUACUUAUAUGGUGAACAUUGUGAGAUCUACACCGAUCACAAGAGUCUUAAGUACUUGUUCACCCAGAAAGAGUUGAACAUGCGACAGCGGCGGUGGUUAGAGUUAUUAAAGGAUUUCGACGUCACUAUACUAUACCACCCGGGGAAAGCCAAUGUCGUGGCCGAUGCUUUGAGUCGAAAAUCGGCGGAUAAUUUAGCGACGGCAAUUACGCCUCAACCGCUUUUGCACAAGGAGAUGCAACGACUUGGGUUGGAGGUAGUAGCGCCGGGAGUGCCGGCUAUUCUUGCCGCAUUAGUUGUGCAACCGACCCUAUUCGAAAAGAUCAAGAAGUUGUAAGCUUCGGAUCCUUAUCUCCAAAUGGUACAUAGUAAAGUUGAAAGCGGUAGUGCCGAGGAUUUUGGCAUUGGAGCCGAUGGCGCACUUCGAUUUCGAAAUCGUUGGUGCGUGCCUAAAGAUGACAAUGUUCGAAGGGCGAUUAUGCAAGAAGCGCAUCAAUCUCCCUAUAGCAUACACCCGGGCGGCACUAAGAUGUACCAAGAUUUGAAAGUGCAUUAUUGGUGACCGGGCAUGAAGAAAGAUAUUGGAAAAUUCGUGGCGCAAUGUCUCAUAUGCCAACAAGUAAAAGCAAAGCGCCGGUUUCCAGCGGGAAAGCUUCAGAGUCUAUCAAUACCCGUUUGAAAAUGGGAAGAUAUAGCGAUGAAUUUCAUUACCGGUUUGCCUCGAUCACAAGGCGGACACGAUGCAAUAUAGGUGAUAGUGGAUCGAUUGACAAAAUCGGCACACUUCUUGUCGAUACACACUACGUGGUCGGGAGACAAGCUAGCUCAAGUUUAUCUCGACAAGGUUGUGAGACUUCAUGGGGUUCCGGUGUCGAUUGUGUCAGGUCGAGACCCCAGAUUCACAUCCCACUUUUGGAAGAGCUUACAGGAUGCAUUGGGCACACGGCUCGACUUCAGUACAGCAUUUCAUCCUCAAACUGAUGGUCAGUCGGAGCGGACGAUACAAAUCCUUAAGGACUUGCUUCGAGCGUGUGUACUCGAUUAUAAAGGAGGGUGGAAUGAUUUCUUACCGAUGGCGGAGUUCGCAUAUAAUAACAGCUAUCAGGAGAGUAUCGCGAUGGCGCCAUUUGAGGCAUUGUAUGGACGAAAAUGUUGUUCUCCUAUCCAUUGGAGCGACGUGGGCGAGAGAGCGGCUCUCGGCCCGGAUGUAGUACGGGAGGCGAAAGAAAAAGUUCGCCUUGCCCGUCAACGGUUAGCGACGGCGCAAUCAAGACAAAAGAGUUAUGCCGACAAGCGAAGGAAAGACUUAGAGUUCGCGGUUGGAGACCGCGUAUUUUUGAAUAUCGCCGAUGCGAGGAGUCAAACGUUUUGGGGUCCGCGGGAAGCUAAGUCCCCGUUAUGUCGGACCAUUCGAGAUAUUGGAGCGCGUGUGCGGUGGCAUACAAGCUCGCACUACCACCGAGACUCGUGGGAGUUCACAAUGUGUUUCAUGUGUCAAACCUUCGAAAGUAUAUUCGAAACUCGACACAUGUAUUAGAAUAUGAGCCCGUGGAGUUACGUGAGGAUGUCUUAUGAGUACCCGGUGUGCAUCCUCGAUAGAGAAGAAAGAAAGCUGCGGAGUCGCAGAAUUCCAUAUGUAAAGGUUCAAUGGAGCAACCAUGCUGUGCAAGAAGCCACUUGGGAGCUCGAGGAGACCAUGCGGAGAGAGUAUCCGCAUCUAUUUGAGUCGACGAGUUAAGGUAUGUGUAAUUUCGCGGACGAAGUUAUUUUAAGGGGUGGAGAAUGUAAUAUACCGAAACUUCGGUAAAUAAAUAUCGAACUUUAGUCAAAUUGACGAAAGUGCGAGGUUGGUACCCUUCGGAAAGUCCGAAGGUGUUAAAAUGAGUAAAAGUGCGUUUAAAGGGAUCUUCGAGAGCUAAAGAAACAAAAAAAAUCUGCAAACUGCAGCUUGUGCUCUCGGAGACCGAUCCCUGGUGGGAGAGACCGGUCCCCGAACGCGUAAGAAACCCAGCAGAGGAAAAAAUUGGCUAAGUCCCAGAAAACCAGCUCUCGGGAACCGGUCCCUGCGAGGAGAGACCGGUCCCUCUGGGAGAGACCGGUUGCCUCGUGCGAAAGCCCCGCUGAGCUGGGGGAGGGCUCUCUGGAAUCGGUCCCAGAUCGGGGAGACCGGUCCUCGAGCGCAGAAAAUGCCCAGUCCGGGUUGUGUAAUGGAAUAAAAGUUGGGGUCUUAUUUGCAUUUAUGCAAUAAAUGGGUUAUGUUGAGGGGUUAUGAGGGCUCUAUCUCUCAUUCUCUCACCCUCUCGCCCUCUAAACUCUCUCUCUCUCUCUCUAGAAGAUAAGAAGGAGAAGAAAAAAAAGAAAAGAAGGAGAAAGAUGAGGAAGAAGAAAGGAAAAGAAAGGAAAGGAAAGAGAAGGAAGGUGGUGAAGAAGCUAAAGGAGUGAAGCAACUCCCUCAUCUUCUUCCCUAGAUUGAAGAAAGGAAAGCUUACAAGGUAAGCUUCUUCCCCUCUCAUGGUAGAACCUAAACUAGGGUUUGGAUUGAGCUAAGAAUGGUUUUUAUAGAACCUUUAGAGUAUUUGAAGCUUUCUUUUGCUUCCUAAUGAGAUCAAAACCCUAGGUUUCGAUAUAGGUGAAGCUAGGGCACCCAAAUUUGGAGCUUUUGCUUGUGAGGGUUUCAAAGUGAAAUUGACCCUCUAGAAACCUAAUUGGGGACCAAACGAACGCGUUGGUGCACUCGGUUCGUCGAAACGAAAAGUCUUUGCUAAGUUAUGAGCAAAAUGGCCUAAUUUGGCUUCGUUUUGCCGCAGGUAGCGAAUUAGGCGGCUAAAAAUUCCGAGAAAAUCACCGUAGCACCUAAGCAAGCCUACGAGGUGGGUGGUGCUAUCCAAACUCAUUAAAAUUCUUUCUAUGCCUAAUGUGUCAUUCAGUUGAGCAUAUCAAUAUAUAUUGUUGCAUGCAUUGUAGGGUAGAUGUGAUGAUAUUUAUGUGAAUGUUACAUGAUGUGAGUACACGUGCAUUUCGGAAUGAUUGAGAACCUAUAAAACCCUAUACAUGCAUGAGAUGAAAUGAAGAAACCUAGUUGAGAGGAAAGAACAAAGUGACACAAUGAACAUAGAUCGAGUGGCAUUCAAAAAUGUAAAGUGGACACUAGAGUUAGUGUGUGUGACAACAAUGAUUUGCUAGAGUUAGCAACUAAUGUGACGUAAAGAAUAAACGCUAGAGUUAGCAUCAGUGUGGCAUAAAGAAUAAAUAAAGUAUAAAGAAUAACGACAAUGGCUAGAGUUAGCAACUAAGGUGAUGUAAAGAACACUAGAGUUGGUGUAAUGACAUGAUUGAACUAAUUAUCCUGAACUAAUUAUCCUUUGAGUUAAGGAUUUGAUCAUACUUGCUAUAAGUCCGUGCUCGAGGACGGUAGCUCCCCCUCGAGCGAUGCGCUCCGGAGUUUAUCAUCACUGGGUUGGUGCUGUUCCCCAGAGGACGAUCCUAGCGGGAGGAAGCUGAGGGCCCGCGAUUAUGGAUUUGAGUUGGCGAGUUAAUGUGGCGAAGCCUCCGGGUUAGCCAUGAGAUUGAACGAAAGAACAAAGAUCAAAGAACAAAGAAUAAAGAACUUGCAUAUUGCAUGAGUUUUAUGUUGAGCAUCCUUAUUGCUAUAUUGUUCAGGCAUAUUAGUAUCACGUGUAUAGUUUGGUUACUAUAUUUCAGCUUAUCCUUUCUAUUAUGCCUGAGUUAGGUCCUAGUGGAAAAGUCGGUGAGAUUGGGGCCGAACCCAUUGGGAACUUCGUUGUAGUUCUCACCCCAUUAUUUCCACAGAGCCGCGACCGAGCGAGCCGGCGAGCGACCGCGGUAAGGAUAUCGCGCCGUAAACAGAGGCCACCCGAGUCGGGUCAUAUUUUAUAUUUUGCUAGUAGAUUACCUUCAUAUUAUCUUUUGUCUUUGAUGAAUUAGGGGUGUAAAGAAAAGAAUGUAAAGCUUUAUUUUGAGUAAAUGUGACGUAAAAAGAAAUGAUGAAAAGACUAUGUAAAGAAUUGUGAAUGAAAAUGUUGGUUGCAAUGUAUGUGAUCCAAAAUGAAUCAUAGUACUUGUGUAGUUGUUUAGUUUCCUAUCUUUCACUCAUGGCUAUUGCUUACCUUCGUGUAAG
This 7988-nucleotide long non-coding RNA is filed under the name Ananas comosus (pineapple). RNAcentral describes it as "long non-coding RNA (ACOM_LNC023314)". Lineage: Eukaryota; Viridiplantae; Streptophyta; Magnoliopsida; Poales; Bromeliaceae. The record is from RNAcentral.